UACAGAGACUGCAAGCGUUAUUCGGAUUCACUGGGCGUAAAGGGUGCGCAGGCGGCCGUGUGUGUGAGGCGUGAAAGCCCGGGGCUUAACCCCGGAAUUGCACCUUAAACUACAUGGCUAGAGCAUUGGAGAGGGUAGCAGAAUUCAUGGUGUAGCAGUGAAAUGCGUAGAUAUCAUGAGGAAUACCAGAGGCGAAGGCGGCUACCUGGACAAUUGCUGACGCUCAGGCACGAAAGCGUGGGGAGCAAACGGG
RNAcentral lists this ribosomal RNA (253 nucleotides) under uncultured bacterium. RNAcentral describes it as "partial 16S ribosomal RNA". It matches the Rfam family "Bacterial small subunit ribosomal RNA", at positions 524 to 776 of the family's 1533-position model. The record is from RNAcentral.